This 76-nucleotide transfer RNA is filed under the name Acetivibrio saccincola. Its description in RNAcentral is "Hungateiclostridium saccincola tRNA-Val". It matches the Rfam family "tRNA". Rfam says of the family: Transfer RNA (tRNA) molecules are approximately 80 nucleotides in length. The record is from RNAcentral. Lineage: Bacteria; Bacillati; Bacillota; Clostridia; Acetivibrionales; Acetivibrionaceae. RNAcentral also lists the same sequence under 1 other name.
GGGCGCUUAGCUCAGCUGGGAGAGCACCUGCCUUACAAGCAGGGGGUCAUAGGUUCGAGCCCUGUAGCGCCCACCA